GACGAACGCUGGCGGCGUGCUUAACACAUGCAAGUCGAACGGAAAGGCCCUGCUUGCAGGGUACUCGAGUGGCGAACGGGUGAGUAACACGUGGGUGAUCUGCCCUGCACUUCGGGAUAAGCCUGGGAAACAGGGUCUAAUACCGGAUAGGAGCCAUUUUUAGUGUGAUGGUUGGAAAGUUUUUUCGGUGUAGGAUGAGCUCGCGGCCUAUCAGCUUGUUGGUGGGGUAAUGGCCUACCAAGGCGGCGACGGGUAGCCGGCCUGAGAGGGUGGACGGCCACAUUGGGACUGAGAUACGGCCCAGACUCCUACGGGAGGCAGCAGUGGGGAAUAUUGCACAAUGGGCGCAAGCCUGAUGCAGCGACGCCGCGUGGGGGAUGACGGCCUUCGGGUUGUAAACUCCUUUCGCUAGGGACGAAGCUUUUGUGACGGUACCUAGAUAAGAAGCACCGGCUAACUACGUG
Molecule: ribosomal RNA, 464 nt
Filed under: uncultured bacterium
Lineage: Bacteria
Description: partial 16S ribosomal RNA
Rfam family: Bacterial small subunit ribosomal RNA
Source: RNAcentral